CGAUGUUAGGGCAAUCUGGCUGUGACAUCUGUCACCCCAUUGGUUGUGAGGGGUGAUCUGGCUGAUCUGGCAGGCUAGCCAGGUGUCCCCUUCGACCAUCACUGCUUCGUGUGCAGCCCUCCCAAAGAUGCAUGCACGCAUAGUGGAAGGGGAUGGCCACCCCGAUCAAGCAGUACCAUUCUUUGGUUAAGGGUACAGGAGUAGCUGUGCCUUCCUGCCAGAACAUCUAAAUAAGCUCUCUAAUUGUACAAUAGUAACCCCUCUCCUUACCAAUUUGUAAAUGUUUUACAAACAAUUAUU
RNAcentral lists this small nuclear RNA (300 nucleotides) under Octodon degus (degu). RNAcentral's name for it is "7SK RNA (ENSODEG00000024161.1)". It matches the Rfam family "7SK RNA". Rfam says of the family: 7SK was discovered as an abundant small nuclear RNA in the mid-70s but a possible function has only recently been suggested. Lineage: Eukaryota; Metazoa; Chordata; Mammalia; Rodentia; Octodontidae. The record is from Rfam by way of RNAcentral.